RNAcentral lists this ribosomal RNA (444 nucleotides) under Triticum aestivum (bread wheat). RNAcentral describes it as "partial small subunit ribosomal RNA". The record is from RNAcentral. Lineage: Eukaryota; Viridiplantae; Streptophyta; Magnoliopsida; Poales; Poaceae.
AUGGGAUGUGGGUCGAGCAGCGGUUCCAUUACUGUCAACCCAGAUUGUCGAGGAGCGCAAGCAAAUCAGCCUAUGCGCGUCAUUGCUCUCCUUCGGGCCCUGCCCACGUCGGCGGCCUCGGACACGCCGGACGCGGCCUCAUCCGGAGUUCCGAACAGGGAGUUUGGGUUCCGAUGGGAGGAUAUCGGGAAGGAGCAGCUCACCGGGACGGUGGUCUUGCACGAGCGCCGCGUGUUCCUCUACUGCAAGGGCCCUGAGGAGCGCCGAGUCCGACCACCUCCCCCACCUCCUUGCUGCCGCCAUCAAUGCCCGCAAGCCCAACCUGAAGAAGAGAGAGCAGAGCUUUGCAUCGGACCUUUGCCUGCUGAUAUAUGGCCGCAACCAGCAGUAUCCAAGACAGGUGGCCGCCUUUUGUACCAUGUUCACAAGGAAUUGGUGCUCUGA